This 509-nucleotide long non-coding RNA is filed under the name Nicotiana tabacum (common tobacco). RNAcentral describes it as "long non-coding RNA (NTAB_LNC010506)". Lineage: Eukaryota; Viridiplantae; Streptophyta; Magnoliopsida; Solanales; Solanaceae. The record is from RNAcentral.
GAGAAAGUUACUCAAGUGAUGAGCAACCUUGUAUAUGAGGAAUGGAAAGGUUUCCCAUUCCUCAUAUAAAAACAUUAAUAUCACAAGCAUAUUGAGCAGUCAUAAAGUUGUGCAAGUGGGAAAAGUCAGCCAAAUAAAAAAAUUGUUCGACAAUUUUACAAUAAAGAAUCAAACAUGUGAACUAUCGAUUCAGUAUUAUUACAGGUUUACAAACAUUUCUGUAAAUUCCUGCAGGUCCUUCAGAUUCCUAUGUACAGUAUUUUAGUCGCUGCAGGUCACUGUAGAUUUGUAUGCUAUAAUGGAUAUAUUUUCCAAUAACCGCGAUCAAAAGAAUGAAUAGGCUGUGCUGACCAAUAUUUGUAUGAAUCAUAGGCUACCUGCUACUUCCAUCCACGGUUUCCUCUCUUCCUUUUAACUACAAGAAGCUGCAUUUGCUCCCACCUUUCAGAAACAACUGAAUGAGUACUAUACCCAUAUUCUUCACUGGGUUUUUCAAGUGGUCAUGUCAC